Molecule: long non-coding RNA, 514 nt
Filed under: Apteryx rowi (Okarito brown kiwi)
Lineage: Eukaryota; Metazoa; Chordata; Aves; Apterygiformes; Apterygidae
Description: lncRNA (ENSARWG00000003696.1)
Source: RNAcentral
CGGCCCCGCUCGCCCGGCGUGGGAAGGAAAUGCCACCCUGCGCUGGGAACGAAAGGGCUGGGAGAGCCCGGACGCCUGGGUCCCCUCCUAGCAGGGGAGGUUCAAGCGCAGGGGCCAGGACGCCUGGGCCCCCUCCUCCUCGGAGGCGAGGCGGGGAGGGAGGAAGCCUCUGCUCUGGGAAAAACACUUCCCCUCCAGCGCUCCGGAGCUGUUCCCGGCAGGAAGGAGCUCUGAGCUGCGGGGCAGAGACGCAGCAAAGCCAUGGUCUGCUCGCGGGAGACCGGCACCCGGAGACUGAGCUGAAGGUGCCGUCRCGGUCGGUGCCAGCCUGCGGCCGCCCGAGGAAGCCAGCGACGGGGACAGAGCUGUGAGCGGGGCCGGGAGAGGGGGGUCCGCGGGCCGGCUCCGGGGCUGGUCCCCAUCGCUGGGCACGUCGGUCACCUGCGCCGUCGCCUUGCCCCAUUGCAGGCGCCGGAGGGGACGCUCCAUGCGGAGCUGAAGCGGCCGCGGCCGA